CUGUGUCCUUCGACGCCGGUUCACCGCCUGUCGGUGCCAACUGGCGUUUUGCGGGACGUCCUGUCGGUGGUGUGUCAGGAAUCUUAGUUGUGCUAUGCUUUGCUUAGUGCAGCUCUGGUUUCGGGCCACUUUCAUAAUCCCGCCGCGGUGCUCUUAAUCGAGUGUCGAGGCGGGCCGGCACGUUUACUUUGAACAAAUUAGAGUGCUUCAAGCAGGCUUGUCACGCCUGUAUACUGUGUGCAUGGAAUAAUGGAAUAGGACCUCGGUUCUAUUUUGUUGGUUUCCGGAAUCUGAGGUAAUGAUCAAUGGGGACAGGCGGGGGCAUUCGUAUUGCGACGUUAGAGGUGAAAUUCUUGGAUCGUCGCAAGACGGACCGAAGCGAAAGCAUUUGCCAAGUAUGUUCCCGUCGAUCAAGAACGAAAGUUAGAGGUUCGAAGGCGAUCAGAUACCGCCCUAGUUCUAACCAUAAACAAUGCCUGCCAGCGAUCCGCCGGCGUCCCUCCGAUGACCCGGCGGGCAGCUUCCGGGAAACCAGAGCUUUUGGGUUCCGGGGGAAGUAUGGUUGCAAAGCUGAAACUUAAAGGAAUUGACGGAAGGGCACCACCAGGAGUGGAGCCUGCGGCUUAAUUUGACUCAACACGGGAAAACUCACCAGGCCCGGACACCGGAAGGAUUGACAGAUUGAUAGCUCUUUCUUGAUUCGGUGGGUGGUGGUGCAUGGCCGUUCUUAGUUGGUGGAGCGAUUUGUCUGGUUAAUUCCGAUAACGAACGAGACUCUAGCCUACUAACUAGACGUAUCUGGUAUCAGCAAUCGUGCUACCAGCGAUCAUAUCUCUUCUUAGAGGGACAGGCGGCUUCUAGCCGCACGAGACUGAGCAAUAACAGGUCUGUGAUGCCCUUAGAUGUCCUGGGCCGCACGCGCGCUACACUGAAGGAAUCAGCGUGUCUUCCCUGUCCGAAAGGACCGGGUAACCCGCUGAACCUCCUUCGUGCUUGGGAUUGGGGCUUGCAAUUGUUCCCCAUGAACGAGGAAUUCCCAGUAAGCGCGAGUCAUAAGCUCGCGUUGAUUACGUCCCUGCCCUUUGUACACACCGCCCGUCGCUACUACCGAUUGAAUGAUUUAGUGAGGUCUUCGGACCGGUGCGCGGAGGCGGUUUUCCGCUCCCGAUGUUGUCGGAAAGAUGACCAAACUUGAUCAUU
This 1200-nucleotide ribosomal RNA is filed under the name Tumidagena minuta. Its description in RNAcentral is "SSU rRNA". It matches the Rfam family "Eukaryotic small subunit ribosomal RNA", at positions 652 to 1773 of the family's 1831-position model. Lineage: Eukaryota; Metazoa; Arthropoda; Insecta; Hemiptera; Delphacidae. RNAcentral also lists the same sequence under 3 other names. The record is from RNAcentral.